UACGUAGGGACCAAGCGUUGUUCGGAUUUACUGGGCGUAAAGGGCGCGUAGGCGGCAAUUCAAGUCAGCUGUGAAAUCUCCGGGCUUAACUCGGAACGGUCAGCUGAUACUGCUUUGCUAGAGUGCAGAAGGGGCAAUCGGAAUUCUUGGUGUAGCGGUGAAAUGCGUAGAUAUCAAGAGGAACACCUGAGGUGAAGACGGGUUGCUGGGCUGACACUGACGCUGAGGCGCGAAAGCUAGGGGAGCAAACGGG
This 253-nucleotide ribosomal RNA is filed under the name uncultured bacterium. RNAcentral's name for it is "partial 16S ribosomal RNA". It matches the Rfam family "Bacterial small subunit ribosomal RNA", at positions 524 to 776 of the family's 1533-position model. The record is from RNAcentral.